UGUGAGGCUGCAGCAGA
RNAcentral lists this unclassified non-coding RNA (17 nucleotides) under Mus musculus (house mouse). Its description in RNAcentral is "oocyte_clustered_small_RNA9242". Lineage: Eukaryota; Metazoa; Chordata; Mammalia; Rodentia; Muridae. The record is from RNAcentral.